AGACAAUACACACAAAAGUUAGAUCUCUACUGUUAGAAAAAAGUGAGCAACCUUACUGCAAGCUGCUAUUUGAUAGCGGUCACAAAUUGAAGUUACAAGAAAAACAACUUUAAUCACCAGAAAAAAGCUAACCACAAUCUUUUCCAUUACUUUAAGAAUUGUACUUAAGGAUUGUACUUUUAACAGAGAAUCGAUAAAAGGGGGAAAAAGCAGUAGUAAACCCCUAAGCCAAGGAGUGGAAUUUUGUUUUUGUUGAAUCUUUUGCUUCUGCUUCGACAAUUACAACUCAAAUUACUAUGAUUUUCUUUUCCCUCCAUCUCCAUUAUUCAUCCGACAAUUUCUUUUCCCAAUUUGUCUUCUUCUACUUCGUUCAAUCCCCAAAACCCUAAAAUCGACCUCUCAAACCCCAUCCUGUGGCUCCAAAUCCGCCCCUUUCUUUUUCAUUCUUUUCUUACCUGUUUUUGUGGAUCCAAAUCAUGUGCACUCUCUUCAUCUUUCUCUUUAAUGGGACCCCUUUUACCAUUUCCGAUCAUUAUCGACUAAUUUCUUACUCUCACCUCUAGCGACAAAUUUGAAUUCUAUACCAGAAUUCUGUAACGACCCCAUGUAAUGCAAUCAUGGGUUUUGGUUGAAGAUUAGUGUUCUUGGCUUUCAUCCUUUCGAAGUGAUUGUUCAUGCAGCGGAUUGAUUCGUGUAAUGGGUUACGGGAAAAAUGGUAGCUUGUUAAUGGCGAGUGGUAAGGAUUUUGGCAGGUGGAAGUCAGAGAUUGAAUGUUGGAUUCCAUGGCAAUUUCUCAUACAUCCCUUUUCUUGACUCUUAAUUUGUUCUGUUCUAUAUAAAGAAAGACAACUUUCUGGUCUAAAUUGUAGCUGUACUUAUGCCUUAUGAUGGACUUUGUUAUUUAAGAAUCACUCUUAAACUCUUCUCUUAUCUCUAUUUAUUGAACAGGUUGAACAAUGAACUUUCUCUAAUUGCCUGGGGAAAAUCAUUAAGCUAAAUAGGGAAUUACUGUUAAUGCUAAACAAAAUCCUCAGGCCUUUCAAUUAUUCUCUCUCUUAUUCCAGCAUUUGAUGAUAAAAUGUGAGUAUGGCUGUUGCUUGCAUAGUAUUGGUUUUGGCUUCAUGGUAUUUCCAAAAACACUAAUUCUUUAACGGUAAUACUAAUGAUAUUGGAGAGCUCUUGAAAUUGAUUUGGAGGUAAUAAUUUCGACCUUUCAAUUGAUAAUUAGGCUUUGAAAAUUGAAGGCAUUGUCCUACGUAAUUUUCCUGAGGAAGGGUAUGUUGACAAAUUGGUAUCUAUGUUAACGACCUCAUAGCGGUUGCAUGCCAAAAAUUAAUAUCUUCUCAGUUAAAAAUCGACGUUUGAACCUGGUUAGAAGAGCUUUAUUGAUUUUCUGAUGGACUCUGGUGAUGUCGAGCAAUCCUUGCUUCUUAAGUUGUUUGAUUCUGAUAAGAGGAAUUCUCUCCUGAGAAGGAAAUCUAAUCGACAUGGUAGUUUUUCACAUUCAGUAGAAAAUAAUAAACCACAAAAUUAUGAUGUAGCUCAUCAACGUGUUGCUGUUUCACAAAUUAGUUUUAGGAAAGUAUUUGUUCUUCUAGCGACUUAUUUAGGAGGAGGCACAUUUUGUUUUUUCCUUGUUCGGGAUCAGAUCACUGGAAAGAAAACAAAUGGGGUUGUCGAUUCCAUUUACUUUUGUGUUGUGACAAUGACCACCGUUGGGUAUGGUGAUCUUGUUCCUAAUAGCAUGGUUGCAAAACUACUUGCAUGUGUUUAUGUUUUCACUGGAAUGACUCUUGGUGGGAUGAUUCUUAGCAAGGCAGCGGAUUACAUUGUCGAAAAGCAGGAAAUUCUUCUGGUUAAGGCCAUGCGCAUGAGGAAAAAGAUCAGCUCCAGUGAGAUCCUUCAGGAAUCUGAGGAAAACAAAUUGAAAUACAAAUUCAUUAUGACUGGAAUCCUCCUUUGGGCUCUUAUCGUUGUUGGAACCCUUUUCUUGACUGUGGUUGAGAACCUAGAGUUCACAGAUGCCUUUUAUUGUGUUUGUUCCACAAUCACGACUCUCGGCUAUGGGGAUCAGAGCUUCUCUACUACAGCCGGUCGUGUUUUUGCUGUCAUUUGGAUAAUGAGCGGUACCAUCUGCUUAGCACAGUUUUUUCUGUACCUUGCAGAAUUACACACAGAAAGGAGACAAGACUCACUGAUUAAUUGGGUUCUCAACCGAAGCCUCACAUAUUCGGAUCUUGAAGAAGCAGACCUUGAUCAUGAUAAAGUAGUAAGUGCUGCAGAAUUUGUAAUAUAUAAACUAAAGGAAAUGGGGAAGAUCAAUCAGGAAGACGUUUCUCCCAUACUUGACACUUUUAAGAAGCUUGACAUUGAUCAAUCAGGAUGUCUAACAGAAGCUGAUAUAGUAAUCUCAUAGUCAUUGGCUUAAUAACGCCCAACUCUUAUCUGGCCCAUAACUCUUGUCGAGCAUUGGAUGAGAUUCCUCAAAAUUCUAUAAGCAGCUUCAAAAUGAGUUGGUCCAGAGGCAUGCAUAAACUGACUAACCAUGCUUACUGCAUACUCAAUAUCAAGGUCGUCCUGCAACAUAAUCUAGAAUUCCUUCACCAGCUCUCAUACCAUGAAUCUCGCUUCCGACUUGGAAACCACCUCCAAAGGCGGUCAUUACCACCAAGAGCACAGCUGUGGAGGCAAAGAGAGGCCAAAAGAAAGCUAGAAUACUUAGAAACCGAGGGGCUACAUAUACAAACAAUGACAGAACAACUGAAACUGCUGCUACAACAGUUAUUUGGUCUUUGUGUUGGAGAAGCUUUGCUUGGAUGUCCAUGGAGAAAGAGAAUGAGAGAAAUAUAGAGAAAAAAAGGAGGUUGCUAUGGGUGACGAUGGUUUCUCUGAGUCUCCCCUUUGGUAUUUAUAAGGAGAAAAAAAUAUUAUUGCAAUGCGCUGAUGAGAUUCAAAAGUUCUAAAACUUUGCUUGAUUGAUCAGCUUCUUAUUUUCAUUAUUUUGGAAAGUACGGGAAUACCCUGGGCUUGUACAGAUGGUGGGGGGAGUGGGAGUGGGAGUGGAAGGAGGGAUGGGGGUUAAUGAGUCAUUUAAAGACAGGAAGCAAAUGGAAACUUGGGGACAAGGGAUGCCUGUUCAGAUUGUUGUCCGUUUGCUUGAUUGGUCGGUUACUUUGUCCCUUUACAUUUGUGAUCACUUUUUAUUUUAUUUGUGUUAUGGAUUAUAUUGCACAUUGGAGGGUAUUAAUUCUUUUCUUUUUCUU
Molecule: RNA transcript, 3263 nt
Organism: Cucumis melo (muskmelon)
Lineage: Eukaryota; Viridiplantae; Streptophyta; Magnoliopsida; Cucurbitales; Cucurbitaceae
Gene name: two-pore potassium channel 1-like
Exons: 5
Source: RefSeq, a predicted model, not a curated record